UGAGCCUGCGGGGCGGCUCCCCUCACCCGCCCCCUUCGGGUCCUUCCGAGCUCCGCCCUACACGGCCCAGGGGUGCCAGUCUCGCUGCCGCCGCUACCGCCCGCGCGCUGCACUCGGGAGAGCGUCCCUGCGCGCACUGGGCGCACCAUGGCCCGCGGGUCCGCGCUGGCGCUGCUGCUGCUCCUCGGCCUGCUCGGCGCUUUGGUGGCCGCCCCGGGCUGGGAAACCAGAAGUCGACAGGAGGAGGGUGGAGAGGCUGCAUCUCACAACCCGCUUGGUUGGGGAUUCCGCUGAGGAUUUUGCCUCCUGAAGCAAAGCAUGGAACCCCGGUGGUGACUCCAUGGCCUGACAGUCCUGUGUUUCCUAAUGCACGCCCGAGGUCAAAGAGACUUUGACUUGGCAGAUGCCCUUGAUGAGCCUGGAGAUUGCAGACGCCUUGAGACAAAUGUUUACACAGUCUCUAAAAGUCUCAGACUCGUUUCUAGAACCCACCAAGAAGCCAAACUCAGGUACUCAGGAGGCCGAGGCAUGAGAAUCGCUUGAGCUCGGGAGGUGGAGAUUGCAGUGAUAGCGCCAUUGCACUCCAGGUAGGCUAUAGAGUGAGACUUCAUCUCAAAGAAAAAGCAUAACCUUUAAAAAUGUGUAAAUUAGACGAUGUCUACAUUUUUUAAAUAACAAUAAUAAUGUUACGACUUUGAGCUCUAAAAAGUCAGAUUAGCUGUCAAAUGGAGGCUCCUUGCUGCUUAUAUCACCAGGGAAGAAACUUUAAUAUGCAAAUACAGUCACCCUUUAUUGUUCGUGGGCACUAGUUGUAGGACCCCUGCUUCCCUGCAGACACCUAAAUCUACAGGUGCUGAAGUCCCUGAUAUAAAAUGGUGUAGUAUUUGCAUACAAUGCAAGUAUAUGUUCCUGUAUCUUUUGAUUUAUUUAUUUAUUUGACCCAGAAUCUCACUCUUAUCCAGGCUGAAGUGCAGUGGCAUGAUUUUGGCUCACUGUAACCUCCACCUCCCAGGUUCAAGAGAUUCUCGUGACUCAGCCUCCAAGUAGCUGGGAUUAUAGGGUAUUCGCCACCACUCCCAGCUGAUUUUUGUAUUUUUAGUAGAGACAGGUUUUAAUCAUGUUGCCCAGGCUGGUUCCAAACUCCUGACCUCAAGUGAUCUGCCCACCCCGGACUCCCAACGUGCUGGGAUUACAGGUGUGAGCCACUGCUCCCUGCGUGAAAUAUUUUCAAUACACGCAUAACCUGGCUUGUAGUCCCAGCUACUCAGGAGGCUGAGGCACAAGAAUCGCUUGAGCUCGGGAGGUGGAGUUUCCAGUGAGUGGAGAUCAUGCCAUUGGAUCUACAGAUGCGGAAAUUCUGGUCAGAGAGCACAAAUUGUGGAUACAUAGCUCCUACCCCAAAACAGAAGGAUGGCAAAAAGAAAGAAAAAAAAUGGACGAGAGCGACUAUGAGGGAACUGAGAGGGUUAUGAUCAUUCCAUUUGCUGAAAGAAAAAUUCAAAGACAGAAUCACACACAGUUGACCAAAAUGGAUAAAACAAGUCUACUGGGGUGGGCAGCGGCGGUGGUGCCCUGGGAGGCGAGAGAGACGGAGAUGGUGUUGGUUUCAGACAAGAUAGUUGCACAGGAACUCGAUAGGGAAAAGGGGAAUGGGUUGUGGGGACCAGGGGAGCUGGAAUUCUGCCUGGGGAAUCAGCCAGUGCCAACGGGUGAACCAGGGGAGGGCAGGUGUAGGGUACAGCCCUAUGGGGCUCUGUGAGCCCCUCCCUGCUGGUUUGAAGACAAGAAAUUGUAGAAAUAAAAGGCACAAGACAUGGAGAUUGAGAAAAGAGAGUUUGGGCCCAGGGGUCCACAGCUACUCAGAUCGUGGAGACCAGCAGUGGCCCCAAAUGCUGGGACGCCCUGACUUUUAUUGAGUUGCAAAUCUGGGGGCAGGGAAGGUAGGGCAUAGGUAGGGCGUGGUCCUGGUGGUGGGUGACUGGGGACAGGGCAAAAUAGGGCAUGGCAUACAGGUGGGGGCUCAGGAAUUGAUGGCACCCCAAGUGAGGUAAGGAGCAUAAUGCAGCACCUUUCCCAUACUUACCAAGAAAGAACUAAAGCAUUAAGGUUUGUGCUACUAUUACUGAUUAUCUUUUCUAAGAAAAGGGGAACCAGGUGCAGAAGCAGAGCAUGAGUAGCCAUGGAACAUGACCCCUGAAGCACAGCACCACACAGGGACAAUUAAGUCCCGGGAUGUCCGCGGGCCUCCCUGACAGCGGUCAGGCUUACCACGAGAGCUUGGAGAAGCGGAGUUUUCUCCUCACUCCCUUGAGGAAGGAGACGUCUUGGCCAUCUUGGACAUCUCCUUCCCUGGCUGGCUAAACAGCAGGUGCUUUCACAGCGCUGACACUGUCGCACAGCUGAGGCACCCUCCAGCAGCUCUUUUUGCAGGCGUGACAGAGGACAUAAAGCAUCUUGCCUUAGGGUCAUUCAUUCCACGAUGUCACCCCAGGUUCACACUUCCAACCUGAGAGGCAUUAGUAAAAGAAUUAAGAUCACCUAUAAAUAACUAAGAUUGCAUAUGAGUAACUACUAACUACGAACUACUGUUCAUUUCUAGUUACUUUCUUCUUCAUUAUAUAUAGGGAGAUAGGCUGAGGCCUUCUGCUCCUGCCUCCGCAGUUAUGGGGUCUUUUCCCUACAGGCAGGGGGUUAGGAGCCUGCCUAUGGUGAUGCUGAAGCCCCGGGGCGGGUGCCUAGUUGAAGGGCCAAGAGGAGCCGUCAGGAGAGAAGGAAAAGCCCCGAGUCUCCUUCAGGCUUGUUUCAGGACUCGGGGCAGGAUAGGAGAUGAUGGUGGAGGAUUCUGAGCAGGGGACGGCCUGGGUGGGAGCGGGACAGAAGGAGAGCUGGACAGGGACGGGGUGACAGGCGACACCGGCUCAUCCAGGAAGGAAGGCCAGGAGGGAGCAGAGGGAAAAGGGGCGUGCAAAGGUACAGAGCAGGAGCAACGGGGACAUCCAGGGAAGGAGGGAAGUGCAGGGCAUUGUGAGACGGGGCACCCUGAGAGAGGGGUCCAGGCAGCAGGAAGACACCACAGCCUGAGCUAUACCCCAGCUCACGGUCAGCCCUGGGAGGGCUUUGAGCAGAAGAGGGGCGAGAGCCCACACCUUGAGGCCACCUGCCGCGGUCCUGGGCCCUGCACAUGCCUCCUACAGGCUGGGCGGCUGCCCACGAGGUCAUUUAAUGCCUGGUGCCUGCGGGCAUCCUGCCAAGAGCCCGUUGGCAUCGGCAUCGCAAUGCUGUCCUCCAAAACCUGCCCCAGUGUCCCCAACGCAGACCUGCUGUGAAGGGGACCUCUGGAGAGGACGCGUUAGCAAUGCCGUGUGCUCUGCCCACAGGUUAUUUCAAUGAUGGGGACCGCAAUGACUGACACUACCCACCCAGGCCCAGGCCACCUGCAGGUGAAUGUCUACCAAGAAUCUUUCAUAUGGAAAUGCAAGCAUGGACAAUAGGAGGCAGAGAUGCAUGCAACACUGGGCUGAAGAGUGUGACGUUUGAGGCUUUAGUUUCAAGCACAUGAGGUUUCUGGUGUGUUUAGUUCUGCAGCUCUCCUUUAGAAGACAUAAAGGACUUGUCCUAGAUAUUUUGCAAGGCAGAGCUGGGCAUGUAUCCUUCAGACACCCUGAUUGCAUCCAGUCAUCUAUUCUGCCACGUUUGCUUGCAGUAAAUAAGGAGCAUUGUCUUGGAAUUUAUGACAUUUACAAUCAGGAAUAAACGAAAAUAACUAGUUAUUUUUGAGAAGAGAAACUAAGAUAUUUGUGAUUGAGACCAUCUUCUGGAAGGUCCUUCUAAUCCUGCCUCCCUGUGGCUGUUCUCAUAUCGGUUUCUCAGCAGGAAGAGGGUUAGCCUGCAGGAAUUUGGAGUUGGCAGAGAGGCGGCAGCGGUGGUUACUCCAGUUAUGACACCGGCGACACACACGGUGGAGAUCACCAUUUGGGGCAUGCCUCCUCAGAAGGCAAUAUGGCGGCAAAAAUCGUGUCUCCCAUUGUAUCCGUGGUGGUGGUGACACUGCUGGGAGCAGCAGCCAGUUAUUUCAGACUCAACAGUAGGAGGAAUUGUUUCAGGACCCGUGAACCAGAAAAUGUCUGAAGAUUUUAAGAUCCCCUGAUUACUUUGAGCAAAACUCAAGCAAAACAAGAACCCUGUUUAUCACUGUUGUAGAAAUUUCCUUUUAUUCUUGACAGAAUUUGAUGAGCUAAAGUGUGUUUUCUUCUGUGUGAAGUACAUGAGCUGCCUAACUCAUUGGAUGUGAUGUGGUUAUAAAGAUGAGUUAGGCAGCUAGACCCUGCAUUGUAGAAAGAAAUUGCUUUCUCUGUCCAUUUGUCAUUCAUUCACACACAGAGACUGUGGCUCUCUGUUCCGAAAACUUCAGGUACUUCAUGGUGCAGUAAUGCACACACGCUUCACCAUGGUGAUGUGACACAGCAGGAAGCAUGAGGGAGGCACAGGAUCUUGGUGGGGAGGAGAUUUUAUCAGCUUCUCGGAGGUGAAGAAUAUUGUUGAGGUUCCAAGGAUGCUGGACCUACACUAAAUUCUUCAGCGAUGUCCAAAAUCAUGGGGCAUUCGUCAUUGCUAAUGAAGUGGGUAUGAAUUAUUUAUGACACCCACAAGCAAGGUUUGAACCUCCUUUCAGCUCUGUUGUAUCUGAACGUAAAGUUAUUAUUGAGAAAAUAAGGCUGCAUUUUGAAAUGUUCAGUGCAGAACGACUUAUGUUAAAACCAUCUGGGGGAAAUUUUGGGAUAGUUUUUCCCGGGAAAUCAUAUAGUUUUGAUGUGUUUUGGCACAUAGGAGACAGAAAUGGUGAUUAUCAGAAGUAUUUUCAGUCUUUGAAAUUCUGUAACUACUGGUUCCUAGGGCAAAAACAUUGCUUUCCUUGCUUUAAACUUUUUCAGUUCACCAGAGUAGGAAGUCUUAAAUCCCCAGACGUCCAGGAAGAUGCCAGCUAUUUGUUUCUCUUUUAGAAACACUUGUGGGCAGAGGGAAAAGGGUGGUUUGGGCCCAUUUGCACAGAUUGAUUAAACUACAGUUAAUGUUCAUAAAACAUUUAGAUCUUGCCCUAAAUAUCAGAACCAAAGAUUUAGACGUUCAUGUACACUCUGGAAUGUACAUACAGGACCCAUAAAAAUUUCCAGUAUUUAUGCUUUGUGCUCCCCAUUAUGAAUUGGGGUCUUCAAAGAGGGAAGGGUGAAAGUGGAAGCCACUUAAAAGAGCUCCCCAAUUUGUAAAAUACCUUCAACUAAGAAUUCACAUUAGGUCACUCAGAGUUGUGUGUCAAAUUGUGGAUUCAUGCAUAAUGCGUGCAAUUUGAAGACAGCCCGUAUUUCCUGUCUCAGUAUUCGGUCCUGCAACACUUUUUAAUUGUCGUAGAAGUUCUCUUGUAGAAAUGGUGAGGUCUGAUGCUUCAUUACUAUUUUCUCUAUAAGAAUUUCAACAUGAGCUUAAUUAAAUUCUUGUGAAAAAGUCUUUGCAUUUUUAGUAACAUACACACACACACACACACACACAGCCCUACUUAAAUGGAAUCUAAACAUUUUAAGCCUUUAAUCCAUUCCAUUGUCUAAACUGUCAUAAACGAUUUUUAAUCAUUUUAAAUAAAAGUAAGAGAAAAAAUACUGGA
This is a non-coding RNA of Callithrix jacchus (white-tufted-ear marmoset), 5656 nucleotides long. The record is from RefSeq and is a predicted model, not a curated record. NCBI's taxonomy places the organism in Eukaryota, Metazoa, Chordata, Mammalia, Primates, Cebidae.